Molecule: ribosomal RNA, 326 nt
Filed under: uncultured eukaryote
Lineage: Eukaryota
Description: partial 18S ribosomal RNA
Rfam family: Eukaryotic small subunit ribosomal RNA
Source: RNAcentral
CCCUUAGAUGUUCUGGGCCGCACGCGCGCUACACUGAUGCAUUCAACAAGCCUAGCCUUAACCGAGAGGUCCGGGUAAUCUUUGAAACUGCAUCGUGAUGGGGCUAGAUUAUUGCAAUUAUUAAUCUUCAACGAGGAAUGCCUAGUAAGCGUGAUUCAUCAAAUCGCGUUGAUUACGUCCCUGCCCUUUGUACACACCGCCCGUCGCUCCUACCGAUUGAAUGUGUUGGUGAGGAGCUCGGAUUGGCAGCAGUUGGUGGUUCGCCACCGGCUAUUGCUGAGAAGUCCUCCAAACCGCCCCAUUUAGAGGAAGGAGAAGUCGUAACA